Molecule: long non-coding RNA, 1031 nt
Organism: Saccostrea cuccullata (small rock oyster)
Lineage: Eukaryota; Metazoa; Mollusca; Bivalvia; Ostreida; Ostreidae
Exons: 5
Source: RefSeq, a predicted model, not a curated record
UGCAUUGUGACGUCAUAAACUUGGCAGCGACGUCAUGUUAGUCCUUCACAAGCCGCGAUGGCUGCUUAUUUUGACACAAUAACACAGACUUUCACAGCGCUUGAGACUUCAUGUAAUAACAGUAUGGUCCUAUGGAUUUCAGUACCAAAACUGAUUUUCUACCGUUUUUCUUCCAAGAAAGUUCUGAACAGCUGAAUCCUGGAUCAGCCUAGAUGUUAUUUCACUGGAUUAUUUAAUGAAUAUUACUCUACUGAGUUACCUGGUUACAUGGAUCAGCUGAGAUGUUAUUUCACUGGAUUAUUUAAUUGGGCAUAUAAUUGGAUAAUUCUGUCCUCAACCUGGAAGAUAUGUUUUAUUCCCAACCAUCUAUAAUCCAUUCUCUAUGAAGUUCAGCCUGUCUGCCCAAAUUCCUUUGGAAAUACAUAGUUAGUCAACCAACAUAGAAACAAUCAAACUUGAAGUCCUCAACAUGGAAGAAUUGGUUUGUUCUUAACCAUCUAUAAUCCAUUCUCUAUGAAGUGAAGCCUGGCUGCUGGUCUUCCUUUGGAAAUACACAGUUAGUCAAUCAACAUAGAAACACACAAACUUGAAGGAUUCUCUAGUGAGGGCUUAUGGAAAUGAUCUAUGUCUACUCUUAGAAUGGUGAAAGACUAUCAGAUUAUGCAAAGACUAACAGAAUAUCCUCUCUUGGAACACUGAAACAAGAAAACCAAACUUAAGAGGAUGGAGGAUUUAAGAAGAACAUAGAUAAAUAUGAUUUCCAACAAAUUUAACCAGUACGAUCAUAGACUGUGGUUUACAGGAUGACAAAGAAAGGACCCAGGAUUGUAUCUUUCACUGUCAGACACUGACUAUGGAUAAAGUGUAAUCAUUUAUCAAACUGAGAUCUAGUCAAAUCAAGUAUUGAAAAUAUGAUUUUCUGAUAGCAUGAGCUCUUUAAAAACUAAUUCUCACGGACCUCAAAGUAUCUGAAUGUGACUUUUAUUUUUUACCAAUUCAUAUUGAAGACUGUUGUUAUGUAUGGGAAUUAC